RNAcentral lists this ribosomal RNA (492 nucleotides) under uncultured bacterium. RNAcentral describes it as "partial 16S ribosomal RNA". It matches the Rfam family "Bacterial small subunit ribosomal RNA", at positions 29 to 507 of the family's 1533-position model. The record is from RNAcentral.
AGUGAACGCUGGCGGUAGGCCUAACACAUGCAAGUCGAACGGCAGCACAGUAAGAGCUUGCUCUUACGGGUGGCGAGUGGCGGACGGGUGAGGAAUACAUCGGAAUCUACUUUUUCGUGGGGGAUAACGUAGGGAAACUUACGCUAAUACCGCAUACGACCUACGGGUGAAAGCAGGGGAUCUUCGGACCUUGCGCGAUUGAAUGAGCCGAUGUCGGAUUAGCUAGUUGGCGGGGUAAAGGCCCACCAAGGCGACGAUCCGUAGCUGGUCUGAGAGGAUGAUCAGCCACACUGGAACUGAGACACGGUCCAGACUCCUACGGGAGGCAGCAGUGGGGAAUAUUGGGCAAUGGGCGCAAGCCUGAUCCAGCCAUACCGCGUGGGUGAAGAAGGCCUUCGGGUUGUAAAGCCCUUUUGUUGGGAAAGAAAAGCAGCAGGUUAAUACCCCGCUGUCCUGACGGUACCCAAAGAAUAAGCACCGGCUAACUUCGUG